This 429-nucleotide small RNA is filed under the name Sinorhizobium meliloti 2011. RNAcentral describes it as "putative ncRNA". Lineage: Bacteria; Pseudomonadati; Pseudomonadota; Alphaproteobacteria; Hyphomicrobiales; Rhizobiaceae. The record is from RNAcentral.
UCGCUUUGGCCAUUCGUCCGUCAAAGCCCCGUCAAAGAAGGAAUCGCCUGCAUGGCUAAACACCUGAUCAACCUUGAAGCUCUCGGAGAUUGCGAGAUCCGCGGUCACGCCAUACCUCAAGGCACGUAUCAGGGCGUGACGGUUGAUCGGCCAGAUGUGAAAGCUGAAGGCGGCAGGGCGCAGGCCGUAUUUUUGUCCCUUACCGCUGAUAAAUAUGUUGAUGCUGAUAAAGCUCUCAAUGCCAGUUCUGUGAAUGUUACUGACUUGAUCCAACAGGGCCUCAUCGUCGAGAUUUGAUCAGGCGACCCUGAGCUGGCAUGUGCCGCAAGCGUGGGCAAUAAUCUUAGCCAGGGCUAUCUCUGGCGGGCGGGAGCGGCAUCUACGAUCGCGCGGACACCAGCUGCAUUUGCGCCAUAGCGGCGAACAACG